This 253-nucleotide ribosomal RNA is filed under the name uncultured bacterium. RNAcentral describes it as "partial 16S ribosomal RNA". It matches the Rfam family "Bacterial small subunit ribosomal RNA", at positions 524 to 776 of the family's 1533-position model. The record is from RNAcentral.
UACGGAGGGUGCAAGCGUUAGUCGGAAUUACUGGGCGUAAAGGGUGCGUAGGCGGGAGUGCAAGUCAUAUGUGAAAUUCCGGGGCUUAACCUCGGAGCUGCAUAUGAAACUGCAUUUCUUGUCGGAUGGCGGAGAAAAUGGAAUUCCACGUGUAGCGGUGAAAUGCGUAGAUAUGUGGAAGAACACCUGUGGCGAAAGCGGUUUUCUAGCCUACCCGAGACGCUGAGGCACGAAAGUUAGGGGAGCAAACAGG